GACGAACGCUGGCGGCGCGCCUAACACAUGCAAGUCGAACGAGCAAAGAGGAGCUUGCUUCUCUGAGCGAGUGGCGAACGGGUGAGUAACGCGUGAGGAACCUGCCUCAAAGAGGGGGACAACAGUUGGAAACGACUGCUAAUACCGCAUAAGCCCACGGGUCGGCAUCGACCAGAGGGAAAAGGAGCGAUCCGCUUUGAGAUGGCCUCGCGCCCGAUUAGCUAGUUGGUGAGGUAACGGCCCACCAAGGCGACGAUCGGUAGCCGGACUGAGAGGUUGAACGGCCACAUUGGGACUGAGACACGGCCCAGACUCCUACGGGAGGCAGCAGUGGGGAAUAUUGCACAAUGGGGGGAAACCCUGAUGCAGCGACGCCGCGUGGAGGAAGAAGGUUUUCGGAUUGUAAACUCCUGUCGUUAGGGACGAUAAUGACGGUACCUAACAAGAAAGCACCGGCUAACUACGUG
This 467-nucleotide ribosomal RNA is filed under the name uncultured bacterium. RNAcentral describes it as "bacterial SSU rRNA". It matches the Rfam family "Bacterial small subunit ribosomal RNA", at positions 28 to 507 of the family's 1533-position model. The record is from RNAcentral.